This 411-nucleotide small RNA is filed under the name Histoplasma capsulatum. RNAcentral describes it as "hypothetical RNA". Lineage: Eukaryota; Fungi; Ascomycota; Eurotiomycetes; Onygenales; Ajellomycetaceae. RNAcentral also lists the same sequence under 1 other name. The record is from RNAcentral.
UUGCUCCCACGACAAAGUCUCCGCGGACCAAGGACACCGCCCAUUUUUCUGGCCAUUAAUUCUCGGCUGAAGAACCGCUUUUUUGCAUUUUUGUACGCAAUAGAUAUGUUAUGGCGCAAUUUCGAGGUGACGAAAUCACCUUACCUCGGUAACUAGCGAAUAGCUGAGAGGGCUAACUACGAACUAACCAAGUGGAAUUGGAGAGUUGUGCGGGGGUGACUGAACGGAUGAAACCCCCGCAUAUCGAUUAAAGAAUCGGAAAAAAUGGAGGAAGCAGACUGCAUUCAGCCAUGGAGGUUGAAUUGCUGGGUAUUGUGGAAUAUCUACCGUGGGUCAGAGAAAGAGAUCGUCGGGUUGAUUCCAGGGCUUUGCAUGGCACUACCAAGGGAGUUAGUUGGGUGAAAACAUGGG